Molecule: ribosomal RNA, 502 nt
Filed under: Plateros sp. UPOL 000031
Lineage: Eukaryota; Metazoa; Arthropoda; Insecta; Coleoptera; Lycidae
Description: partial large subunit ribosomal RNA
Rfam family: Archaeal large subunit ribosomal RNA (bases 381-502)
Source: RNAcentral
CAUGUCUUUUUGAUUAUGAUUUAAAGUCUAAUCUGCACAAUGAAAAUUUAAAUUGCCGCAGUAUUUUGACUGUGCAAAGGUAGCAUAAUAAUUAGUUUCUUGAUUAGAAACUGGUAUGAAUGAUUGGACAAGAAAAUUUCUGUUUCUUAUUAAUGGAUUUUUUAAUUUUAUUUUUAAGUUAAAAAGCUUAAAUGUGUAUAAAAGACGAGAAGACCCUAUAGAGUUUUAUAUUUAUUAAUAAUUAUGUAUUAGGAUUGAUUUUUUUUAUUGAGUAUUUGAUUGGGGUGAUAUAAAGAUUUAUAAAAUUCUUUAAAUUUUAAAUUGAUGAUUAUUAAAUUUUUUAUCUAAAUUUUUUUAAAUUUAAAAUUAAUUACCUUAGGGAUAACAGCGUAAUUUUUCUUUAAAGCUCUUAUUGAAAGGAAAUUUUGCGACCUCGAUGUUGGAUUAAAAUAAAUUUUUGGUGUAUCAACUUAAAAAUUAGGUCUGUUCGACCUUUAAAAUU